Molecule: non-coding RNA, 148 nt
Filed under: Pan troglodytes (chimpanzee)
Lineage: Eukaryota; Metazoa; Chordata; Mammalia; Primates; Hominidae
Source: Rfam by way of RNAcentral
GCUGGGCAUGGUGGUGCAUGCCUGUAGUCCCAACUAUUCGGGAGGCUGAGGUGGGAGGAUCGCUUGAGCCCAGGAGUUUGAGGCUGCAGUGAGCUAUUAUCACACCACUGCACUCCAGCCUGGAUGACAGAGUGAGAUCCUGUCUCCA